RNAcentral lists this unclassified non-coding RNA (201 nucleotides) under Hevea brasiliensis (rubber tree). Lineage: Eukaryota; Viridiplantae; Streptophyta; Magnoliopsida; Malpighiales; Euphorbiaceae. The record is from RNAcentral.
GGUAGCAGAAAUCAAGACAACCUGCAAUAAUACAAACAAAUUUAGGAUGAACAUGUAAAUUUAUCCAUUAGUUGUUAUCUAGCCCUGCAGUUGCAUAAUAAUAUGGUAUCAUAUAAAAUCAAAACAUUGCCUAGCAUCACUCAAAAAAAUGAAACGAAGCCAUGUAUUUAGAACAACAGGUGAAAUAAAACUGAAAUUUAU